Molecule: ribosomal RNA, 564 nt
Filed under: uncultured bacterium
Lineage: Bacteria
Description: bacterial SSU rRNA
Rfam family: Bacterial small subunit ribosomal RNA
Source: RNAcentral
CCUACGGGAGGCAGCAGUGGGGAAUCUUGCACAAUGGGCGAAAGCCUGAUGCAGCAACGCCGCGUGCGGGAAGAAGGCCUUAGGGUUGUAAACCGCUUUCAGCAGGGAAGAAAAUGACGGUACCUGCAGAAGAAGGUGCGGCCAACUACGUGCCAGCAGCCGCGGUGACACGUAGGCACCAAGCGUUGUCCGGAUUUAUUGGGCGUAAGGAGCUCGUAGGCGGUUCGGUAAGUCGGGUGUGAAAACUCUGGGCUCAACCCAGAGACGCCACCCGAUACUGCUGUGACUUGAGUACGGUAGGGGAGUGGGGAAUUCCUGGUGUAGCGGUGAAAUGCGCAGAUAUCAGGAGGAACACCAGUGGCGAAGGCGCCACUCUGGGCCGUAACUGACGCUGAGGAGCGAAAGCGUGGGUAGCAAACAGGAUUAGAUACCCUGGUAGUCCACGCCGUAAACGUUGGGCACUAGGUGUGGGUCUCAACCAACGAGAUCCGCGCCGUCGCUAACGCAUUAAGUGCCCCGCCUGGGGAGUACGGUCGCAAGACUAAAACUCAAAGGAAUUGACGG